Cucumis melo (muskmelon) is the source of this 837-nucleotide long non-coding RNA. RefSeq lists it as uncharacterized. NCBI's taxonomy places the organism in Eukaryota, Viridiplantae, Streptophyta, Magnoliopsida, Cucurbitales, Cucurbitaceae. The record is from RefSeq and is a predicted model, not a curated record. The transcript has 2 exons.
GUUAGUGCUACUAUUACUAAAACACACACAAUUUCUCCCUUCUUUUUUAGAUUUCCCCUAUUUUCCUCUUUCUAAAAAAAAACCCAUUUUUUUAAAGAUUUCCCUUUUCCUAAAAUAUCUUCAUUGUUCUCUCAUCUAUCUUCCUCUAAUCUUUCUCUCCACAUAAGCCUUUUCCUCAAAUUUUUAGUCUCCACGCAAAAAGUAUCCAUCAGUUGUCGUCGUGCGUCGCCCGCCUCCAAUUUUGCUGCCUUUGUCUUUGUAGAGAUUCUGGUUCUGGUGCCUGUUAGCAUUCACCUACUCUGUUAGAAGUUUGAUUAGAUUUUUGUACGACUCGUUCCAUGCAUGCAAUAUGGUGUGACAAUUUAGACUAUUCUUUCCAUAUUUUAUGUCUAAGUUUAAUAUGUAAGAGUUACAACUUAAGCAGGGUUGACAGGUAUUGUUAGAAGAAGAACGAUGUCGGUUGACUUCACACCAUAUCUCGAGCCUAGUGAGGAGGUGCUCUGGGAUGUGGUGUGACAAUUAAAUGAAAGCCUUCUCAUAUCCCACUUGAGAGAACUGAAAAAGGAUGUUCACCUCCUAAAUCUUCAUCCGACUAGACUUCUUAUUUGUUUUCCUGUAAUGUAACAAAGUAAUAAUCUCUUGAACUUUUUGUUCUCCUUUAAUUACUCACGGUCACAUUCCUCUAAUGGUGGGAAAGUUCAUGGUUUAAUGAUAGUUUUAGGAAAUUGCCUUUCAAUCAUGCAAAGUUUGGUCAUCCCAAAAUUGCAUUGUAUGUUGAUUGAACAAUCUACGACCAAAAUAACUUGUCAUCUUUAUCAUAAUAUUAGGUUCUCCAAA